UGUACGCAAAGCAGGUGGUGGGUAAAACAGUUUUUAACCUGCAGCCUUCGGUGAUAAUCAUCGGGAAAUACUUUUUGAAAAGGAGACCGAUUGCGAAUGGCCUUGCUAUGGCUGGAAGCCCCGUAAUGCUUUGCACCCUUGCUCCUUUGAACCAGUACCUUUUUGACAAUUUUGGCUGGCGGGGCAGUUUGUUUAUUCUUGGGGCAAUUUUACUGAACUGCUGUGUGGCUGGUGCCCUUUUCAGGCCCAUUUGGAAUGGCGGCUGGCCCCGUUCAGAAACAAACCAUCCAGCAAACUGAAAAGGCUGCCAAAGAGCAGCCUGAUAAAGGCUCGGCGGAAAGGGUCCAUCCCAAAACUGUCAGUUUGUUGCCUGGAACGGAGCAGAAGGAGGACAAAGACUGCUGUGAAAAGUUUAAUAAGUACCUUGAUUUGCCCCUCCCCUAAGCACAGAGGUUUCCUGAUUUACCUGAUUGGAAACGUGCUCAUGUUUCUAGGCUUUUUUGCCCUGAUGGUUUUUUUGGCGCUGAACGAGAUCAUAGCUUUAAUUUAUGAAAACGCCGCCUCCUC
RNAcentral lists this ribosomal RNA (567 nucleotides) under Haemoproteus chelodinae. Its description in RNAcentral is "partial small subunit ribosomal RNA". Lineage: Eukaryota; Apicomplexa; Aconoidasida; Haemosporida; Haemoproteidae. The record is from RNAcentral.